GUGGCGACAUGGAGCAAAUACCCAAAAAUAAACGUCCCAGUUCGGAUUGUAGUCUGCAACCCGACUACAUGAAGCCGGAAUCGCUAGUAAUCGCGGAUCAGAAUGCCGCGGUGAAUACGUUCCCGGGUCUUGUACACACCGCCCGUCACACCAUGGGAGUUGGGGAUACCCGAAGCCUGUGAGCUAACAGUAAUGGAGCAGCAGUCGAAGGUAGAAUCAAUGAUUGGGGUGAAGUCGUAACAAGGUAAC
This 249-nucleotide ribosomal RNA is filed under the name uncultured bacterium. RNAcentral's name for it is "partial 16S ribosomal RNA". It matches the Rfam family "Bacterial small subunit ribosomal RNA", at positions 1254 to 1500 of the family's 1533-position model. The record is from RNAcentral.